AAAACAUCGCCUCCUGCAGUAUAAAGUAUAGGAGGUCCAGCCUGCCCAGUGACUACGGGUUCAACGGCCGCGGUAUAUUGACCGUGCAAAGGUAGCGCAAUCACUUGUCUCUUAAAUAGAGACCUGUAUGAAUGGCUAGACGAGGGCUUAACUGUCUCCCCCUUCCAGUCAGUGAAAUUGAUCUAUCCGUGCAGAAGCGGGUAUAAUUCUACAAGACGAGAAGACCCUUUGGAGCUUAAGGUACAAAAUUCACCCAUGUUAAACAACUCCGUAGAAAGCAAGAACUUUGUGGAUAUGAAACUUUACCUUCGGUUGGGGCGACCACGGGGGAAAAACAAGCCUCCGAGUGGACUGGGCCAAAAACCCCUAAAGCUAAAAGAGACAUCUUUAAGCCGCAGAACAUCUGACCAAUAAUGAUCCGGCUAAAAAGCCGAUCAACGGACCAAGUUACCCUAGGGAUAACAGCGCAAUCCUCUCCCAGAGCCCAUAUCGACGAGGGGGUUUACGACCUCGAUGUUGGAUCAGGACAUCCUGGUGGUGCAGCCGCUAUUAAGGGUUCGUUUGUUCAACGAUUAAAGUCCUACGUGAU
RNAcentral lists this ribosomal RNA (589 nucleotides) under Pimephales promelas (fathead minnow). RNAcentral describes it as "partial large subunit ribosomal RNA". It matches the Rfam family "Bacterial large subunit ribosomal RNA", at positions 1810 to 2604 of the family's 2925-position model. Lineage: Eukaryota; Metazoa; Chordata; Actinopteri; Cypriniformes; Leuciscidae. The record is from RNAcentral.